GGACUGGAUCAGGCUCAGGUGCAUCCAACCAGCCGUCCCAGCAACAGACAGCCAGCUCCACCCCUCCUCCCCACCAGCCAAUAGCAGGGUUGGCCCAAGCCCAGGCCAACAACAGCAACAACAAGACAGGCACCUUCACUGGCACUUACCCUGGCGCCUACAUAGGCUCCUAUGCAGGGUCCUUCACAGAUGACCUCCACAGACUGGUGGAUGACUGGGCCAUGGAGGCCCUGGCUGUCUCCUGGCGGCCGCGGCCCAGUUCCCUCAGCUUCAGUGGGCAGCCGCGUUGGAAUGACGACCCCAUGGGGCCCAGAACCAGAGCCAGACUGGCCAGCGCUCCAGAUGCACCUGCCAGGACAGCCCCUGGCUUUGAAGGCCCCCAGCUCUCCCUGUCAUGGCCGAUGAUUGACAGCCAGGCCCAGGGGUCAGUGAUGAGGACCAGCUCCCCGGGACAGGCAGGGUUCCAUCCUAGCUAUAUGGUGGCCCAUCCAGCCCCAGACCUGUUUGGGGGGCUGCCACCUUCGCCCCUCUCACCCUUCUGUGUAAGCCAGUGGCCUGAGCUGCUGUCCUCCUUGGGUUCAGGGGUGUUUGCUUUCCCUAUCGUGCCCCCAGCCUGGGGCACCCCGACUUCCGCCCCACCCUACGAGCCACCCGACCCCAAAACCAGGAACCUCUAACCCCUGUAGCAUCAUGUCUUCCAACUAUGUUACCAAAAAAUAAGUCAUAUGUAGUUAGAGCUGUGGUCUACUCUACGCACAGUAUGUAAACUGUAUAUAUUUAACCAGCAUGUAUGUAUAUAGUAAGCAUUUGUAUAUAUAGCCCAUAUAUGUUGUUAUCAAUGUGUGACAUUAUCAACCUCAAUUUACAUACCUCAUAUGUAUGUACAUAAGGGACAUAUGUAUAUUUUAUCACCUGUGUGAAUGUGCUGUAGUGUAUAUAAGGUGUGUAAUACAUUCAUUAUAUUUGCAUAAUCCAUUCAUUUUUUUUGUGCAUAUAAGCUUUCUGUGUAUUUAAAUUAUCUAUUUCUAUAUCAUUCAUUCCUACUGUAAGUCUUUGUACAUAAACUGUUCAUGUUUGUGUGUUUAUCACCCAUAUGUGUGUAUGUGUACCCAUGUGUGUGUGUUUUUGAGAGAGUGUGUCCAACAUGUUAUCCAUAUGUACAGUAGGGGCUGCAGGGCUCUGUCCUAACCCAGAAGAGAGCCAUUCACCAUCUUGCCGUCACUGUGAAGCCUUGUCUACCUGGAUACCAGCCUGGUCUCCCUGGUUACGAGCCUUGUUACCCAGGUCACCAGCUGUGUCACCCUGGUUAACAGCCUGGUCACACUGUUGGUUUCCCUGGUUACCAGCCGUGUCACCCUGGUUACCAGGACCGUCUGCUUCAUUACUCUGAUAUUUAUGUUGUAAUAUACUUCCUUCAUUCUCAUUGAAACUCUUCCAACGCUAGUGCUUGAAAUAGUCCUAAGAAAUGUGGAAGAACUUGAACUUAAUCUUCAGGAGAAAUAUCCUGCAAGAGUGCCUUGGAACAGUAGCUUCAGUUAGUUCUGGAGACAAGCAUGAGGCCAUUUGAGAUAAGUUAGGAUAAUGGGGUCAUAUUAUGUGUAUGGUUUUGUCUUUAAAGGUACUUGAUAUAUUUGUGUGAAUGUUAUAUUUAGGGGGAAAAAAACAGGUUGGUUAUAUUCAGGUUGCCAAUUUAGAAUGUUGGGAGUAUGACCAUGUUAUUGGUUGUUUUGUGAAUAUUAUAAUAACAGAUGGGACAUUAUCUAAUGUAGUACUGUAAGAUUCACACAGUGCACUGAAGCUAUGUGUUGGCCUCUUUGUCCAGAGGUUUCUACAAAGCAGUAGCUAUACGAUUUUGCUCCACUGACCACGGCCUGCAUGAACACGCACUAAAGCUUGCACAGGAUAAGUGCAAGAGUUAGGGGCAUUCUCUGGGUGAUAGCUACUGUUACUUGGCUGUCACAAAACAGUGGAUAUGUCAUACUGCACUGUACAGUAUGAGUAGAACUAAAGGGUUUCUCAGUAUGGACAUUCCUACAGUAUGCCUUAUUGUAGGUUUGAAUCAUUGUGGUUUCAGUAUUAAGGGGGUCAUUCCACGAAUAGUGCCUUUCAUGGCCUUGUGACAUUUUUAUAAAACACGCAAUUUAACAGUUGGUUCACAUACUUCUCCGCUCUUACUAAGCUAAACAUGCAAUUUAACAGUUGGUUCACAUAAGUCCAAUAGUAGCGUGUUUUCAUGAAAGUAAAUAAGUUGUUGCCUCUGAAAAUUCCCAUUUUGGCAUGUCCCAUGUUUGACAAUUUUAACCCACUCGCCACAAACAUUCCCAAAGUUUUCACCAUCAUUGUAAAGCCGUAGUUAUUUUCUUGCUUUGAUCAAGUACCAAUGGGUCCCUCAGGUUUAAGGUCAGCCCCGUUACAUGAACUGAGCUCUCCUUUAAAAAGAAAAAUGGAACAUCUAAUAGUCAAAGCAUAGUGUAAAAGCAGGUGAGCUGGUUCCACUCUUUUUGUCCAUUUCCAGUUUUUUGUGGCGGAAAACUGAGCGAGUCGAUCAUAACGCGCCGACCCCGUUACCCCUAGACAGAUAGGCUACACAUUUUUUUUAACAAGUUCACAUUUUUUGGUUCACCUCGUAUUGAAUUGCGCCUCUCUGUUCCAUACCUCCUGAGUUAUGGCUUAAUUAAGAUGAAAUCGUCAACGCUUUUACUUUAAUUGGCACUUUUACAGCCAUUUUUUGGGGGAUGGGGAAACAUGUUUUUAUGUAGUUUAACAUUUACUCUUAAUGACAGAAAUAAAUGUGUAUUUGUAUUAUUACACCACCGACAAGGCACUCUAUUCGUGGAAUGACACAAGUAUGGGUUUUGUUCAUUUUCUGUAGGGUUAAUGCACAGUACCGUAUGACAUAUAUGAAUGUUAGAGGCCGGUAUGAUAUAUAAUGAUUUGUAAUUUAUUGCAUGACCUAAACAAGUUGACUCGUCUAAAGCCCAUGUAGUAACCAACGGAAAAAAUUUGCAUUUCAUACGGUGUCUGUGGAGGCUGUUGGUUAAAAAAAAGUCAUAAUGUUCAAUAAGGAGUUUGAUCAUUGAUGUAAGAUCAGUCAUAAUCUGUAUUAUGAGGAUAAUAAGUACACAGUAACUAAUGUAGUGCUGUGUGUUGAUGACAGAGAAGGGGCUAUGUCUUCUAACUGCACAGUUCUUCCACUUUAGUCUUCUGAGAUGAUCAGAAUCGCAAGACCAGCCUAGUGUGUAUCAAUCAGUACUUCUUUCAUUUUGGUUUUGUGUUGUGUGACACAAUCAUUUAAAUCCAAUAUAACACACAUCAUGUUGUACAAUAAUAUCUAUCAACAAAGUUCAGAAAUCAUAUGACCCAAACAAUCCCAGCAAAGGCUCCAUACCCGGAAUGUGAGAUAAAUAGUGCCUGUCACUACUACACGCAUUCAGCCAAUAGCUUCCUUUGCCAACCAGUUGGCAAUUCUUGGAUAUAAAUCAUUUACUUGUUAUGAUUUGAAGCCGUUUCCUAGCUGUACAGUCGUUCAGUCAGUUCAGUUUGAAUUGAACUUUUGUAGACGAAUAGUGCAGAAUGUUCUGCUCUGAAUCCAAUCUUCCAUCCCGUGCAAAGCGAGACUUGUGUUCUCUGUAAACAGCAUCUGGCCUAUGCAGCUAUUGACAGGACUCAUCAUGCGCUCACUAUACACAGCAAGGCUGAACUCUGAACUCUGAUCUGUGACGCUUGCACUAGAAGCUCUGCUCUCUGUACGAUUGCUUUUGCCUAGCUUAUACUCUCCCUGCACUUUCCUGACACACUGGUCAUUAGCGCUCAUCUCGCUCACAAAGAUUGUACAUAUUUGAAGACAGAAAUAAAUAAUAAACUUGUUUUUGCUUGACAACAUGUUUUCUCUGCGUCUGUUAUAUUCAGUAGCGGUGUGUGGGUAAAAUCUAAAAAUCCGGGGAAGGUUCUGAUUUCUGUGUGUGUGUGUGUGUGUUUAUUCGUGAAAGCAGAAAAACAUGUUGACUCACCCUACUUGUGGAGAAACGCCAAUGCCAUCCUCCUCUCAUGUUGACGAAAUGGUA
RNAcentral lists this long non-coding RNA (4064 nucleotides) under Salmo trutta (river trout). RNAcentral describes it as "lncRNA (ENSSTUG00000049925.1)". Lineage: Eukaryota; Metazoa; Chordata; Actinopteri; Salmoniformes; Salmonidae. The record is from RNAcentral.